GUGCAGUGUCAGUAGUAACAUGCAGUGUCAGUAGUAACAUGCAGUGUCAGUACUAACAUGCAGUGUCAGUAGUAACAUGCAGUGUCAGUAGUAACAUGCAGUGUCAGUACUAACAUGCAGUGUCAGUAGUAACAUGCAGUGUCAGUAGUAACAUGCAGUGUCAGUACUAACAUGCAGUGUCAGUACUAACAUCCAGUAUCAGUAGUUCUUCCUGAUAUCAAUAAUUCAUCGCUUUGUGCUCUGGAGCAUGGAGCAUCAGUUCAGCAGCUCAUAUUAAAACACACACACAGACACACACGCACGCACACACACACACACACUCCCUACUGUGGUGUAGACGCAGGGUUAUAAUGUGUGUAUCAGUGGGGUUUAUCGGAUGUUCUGGAUGCAGCGACGCACUAAACUAAACCACAGGCACCUAUUACAUUUAUUAGUAAAUGAUUAGUAAAUCAAGCUCAUUCUGUUCCCUCUGUUUCAGCAUGGAGGAGGCGUGUCACUCGCUUCAUUUACAUCCUAAUUCAUUCCAUUUACGUGUGUGUCUGUGUGUGUGUGUGUGUGUGUGUGUAGCAGAUGGAGCUCUGCAGUGGCAGUUUAUCUCCACUGUGAGAGUCCAUGUGACUGCUGUUCACACUGAGACAGAGCGAGAGAGAGAGAGAGAGAGAGAGGAGAGAGACUAUAUAUAGACAGUGAGAGACCCAGACAGAAAGACAGAUCCAAAGAAAGAUCUCUCUCUCUCUCUCUCUCUCUCUCUCUCUCUCUCUCAGUUCCAGCUCUUCCUCUCAGUUUCAAUCUGUCUUUUGGUUUAGCAUUAAUUGUAAGAGCUGUAUAGCAGUCACUCAUCCCGUCUAUACCUUAAUAUCCAUCUUAAUGGCUCUCUCUCUUUCAUCCGUUAUUUCUCUGUCUUUUCCGGUGGAUGGAAAGGCAGCGUGGACGAGGACAGAUGUAUUUUAAAGAUUUAGUUGUGAACCAGUCGAGAAUCUUCUUCUCUCUGAGGUAAACACUGCGGAGGUGUCACGGCUCAGCAGCAGCUGCCGUCUCUCUCUGAAAUGUUAGUCAGAGGUCUGUGUUUUCCUCUCGCUGACGCCGUCACGUCUGAACAUAAGACACACACACACACACACACACACACACGCCGGCUGCAGAUUCAGAAAGAUAGCCG
Ictalurus punctatus (channel catfish) is the source of this 1159-nucleotide long non-coding RNA. NCBI's taxonomy places the organism in Eukaryota, Metazoa, Chordata, Actinopteri, Siluriformes, Ictaluridae. The record is from Ensembl.